This 92-nucleotide non-coding RNA is filed under the name Protocruzia adhaerens. Lineage: Eukaryota; Ciliophora; Spirotrichea. The record is from RNAcentral.
GAAAGAUAAGGAAAACGUAAAAGAAGAAACGCAAAAAUUUCUGCGAGGAAAUUUGGAUUUUUUUUUUACUUCCUUUUCUUCUACUUUCGGUU